Molecule: RNA transcript, 6965 nt
Organism: Cygnus atratus (black swan)
Lineage: Eukaryota; Metazoa; Chordata; Aves; Anseriformes; Anatidae
Gene: OGA
Gene name: O-GlcNAcase
Exons: 17
Source: RefSeq, a predicted model, not a curated record
CGCCCGCCCGCCCUCACUCUCUCGCCGCCGCUCGGGCCGUACGGGGCCGGCAGCGCGGCGGGGGCUGUUAGGCCGCGGCGUAACGCUCCCUGCCGGCGGGGCCUCUUCACCGGGCGGCGCGGACCGGUCGGGGCCGGCUCCCCGCGCAGGCGCAGGGCCCCGUAAACAGGAAGCGGCGGCCUCCGGGGCGGCGGCGGAGACAAAGGGGCCCGGCCAGGCCCGGCCCGGCGAGCGGGGGUGCUGGCGGCGGGCGGCAGGAUGGUGCAGAAGGACGGGCAGGCGGCGCUCGAGGAGCCCCAGGGCAGCCCCAACCCGGCCGCGGCGCCCGGAGCUCCCUUAGAGCCGCCGGGAGCCGCCGCCGCAGCCGUGGGGCCGGUUCAGGGGGGCGAGGAGACGGACACCGAGACGGAGACGGCGCUGGGCUCCCGCCGCUUCCUCUGCGGCGUCGUGGAAGGAUUUUAUGGAAGACCUUGGGUUAUGGAGCAGAGGAAAGAACUCUUUAGAAGACUUCAGAAGUGGGGACUAAAUACAUACUUGUACGCUCCAAAGGAUGACUACAAGCACAGGAUGUUCUGGCGAGAAAUGUACUCUGUGGAGGAAGCGGAGCAGCUAAUGACUCUAAUAUCAGCUGCACGAGAACAUGAAAUAGAGUUCAUUUAUGCAAUCUCGCCUGGACUUGACAUCACUUUCUCAAAUCCCAAAGAGGUAUCCACAUUGAAACGCAAGCUGGACCAGGUUUCCCAGUUUGGCUGCAGAUCUUUCGCACUGCUGUUUGAUGAUAUUGAUCACAACAUGUGUGCAGCAGACAAAGAAGUUUUCAGUUCCUUUGCUCAUGCUCAAGUCUCAAUAACAAACGAAAUUUUUCAAUAUCUAGGAGAACCAGACACAUUCCUUUUCUGUCCUACAGAGUACUGCGGAACUUUUUGUUACCCAAAUGUUGCCCAGUCUCCGUAUUUACGGACUGUAGGAGAAAAGUUGCUCCCUGGCAUCGAUGUGUUAUGGACAGGUCCGAAAGUUGUAUCCAAAGACAUUCCAGUAGAGUCCAUUGAAGAAGUUUCGAAGAUCAUCAGGAGAGCACCAGUUAUCUGGGAUAACAUUCAUGCUAAUGAUUAUGAUCAAAAGAGGCUUUUUCUUGGACCUUACAAAGGUCGGUCAACUGAGCUCAUCCCUCGACUAAAGGGAGUUUUGACCAAUCCAAACUGUGAAUUUGAAGCCAAUUACGUUGCUAUUCACACGCUUGCAACCUGGUACAAGUCUAACAUGAAUGGAGUGAGGAAAGAUGUGGUAAUGACUGAUACGGAAGACAGUACAGUUUCUAUCCAGAUUAAACUGGAAAAUGAGGGGAGCGAUGAAGAUAUUGAAACAGAUGUUCUCUACAGCCCACAAAUGGCCCUGAAGUUGGCCUUAACGGAAUGGCUACAGGAGUUUGGGGUACCUCAACAAUACAGCAGUAGGCAAGUGGCCCACAGUGGAGCUAAAACUACUGUAGGGGAUGUAGGGCCUCUGGUGGCACCAUCCUCUUUAAAUGCAGCAACUGUGGUUACCACGGUUUACCAAGAACCCAUCAUGAGUCAGGGGGCAGCGCUGAGCAGCGAGUCGCCAGCUUUGGUAAAGGAGGAAGAGAAGAAGCAAUCUGAUGAGGAGCCAAUGGACAUGGUUGUGGAAAAACAAGAUGACGCAGACAAGAAUGCUAAUCAGAUAUUGACAGAUAUUGCUGAAGCAAAGAUGGCAGAGGAGUUGAAGCCAAUGGAUACUGAUAAGGAGAGCAUAGCUGAAUCCAAGUCCCCAGAGAUGUCUAUGCAGGAAGACUCUGGUAGUGACAUUGCCCCUAUGCAGACUGAUGAACAGAUUAACAAAGACCAGUUUGUGCCUGGGCCAAACGAAAAGCCUCUCUACACAGUAGAACCAGUGACUUUAGAGGACUUGCAGCUUCUCGCUGACUUGUUUUAUCUCCCUUACGAGCAUGGGCCCAAAGGUGCACAGAUGCUGAGAGAAUUCCAGUGGCUCAGAGCAAAUAGCAGUGUUGUCAGUGUUAAUUGCAAAGGAAAGGAUGCUGAAAAAAUAGAAGAAUGGCGUAACCGAGCGGCUAAGUUUGAAGAGAUGUGCAGCUUGGUGAUGGGAAUGUUCACUCGCCUCUCCAAUUGUGCCAACAGGACAAUCCUGUAUGAUAUGUACUCCUACGUCUGGGAUAUCAAGAGUAUUAUGUCAAUGGUGAAAUCUUUUGUGCAGUGGUUAGGGUGUCGUAGUCAAUCUUCAGCACAGUUCUUAAGUGGAGACCAAGAACCCUGGGCCUUUAGAGGUGGUCUAGCAGGAGAGUUCCAGCGUUUGCUACCUAUUGAUGGGGCAAAUGACCUCUUUUUUCAACCACCUCCAUUAACGCCUACUUCCAAGGUGUACACCAUAAGACCCUACUUUCCUAAAGAUGAGGCAUCUGUAUAUAAGAUCUGCAGAGAAAUGUAUGCUGAUGGAGCUGAUCAACCUUUCCAUAGUUUGCCAGACUUGAUUGGAGACAAGUUAGUGGGAGGUCUACUCACUCUCAGCCUGGAUUACUGCUUCGUCUUGGAAGAUGAGGAUGGUAUAUGUGGCUAUGCCUUGGGAACAGUUGAUGUGACUCCUUUCAUUAAAAAAUGCAAAAUGUCUUGGAUCCCUUUCAUGCAAGAAAAAUAUACUAAACCAAACAGUGACAAGGAGCUGUCUGAGGCAGAGAAAAUAAUGCUAAGCUUCCAUGAAGAGCAAGAAGUGUUGCCAGAAUCAUUCCUUGCCAACUUCCCUUCGUUGAUAAAGAUUGAUAUCCACAAAAAAGUGACAGAUCCAAGUGUGGCCAAAAGUAUGAUGGCCUGCCUGCUCUCUUCUCUAAAGGCUAAUGGCUCCCGUGGGGCUUUUUGUGAAGUGAGACCGGAUGAUAAAAGAAUCCUGGAAUUUUACAGCAAGCUGGGUUGUUUUGAAAUUGCUAAAAUGGAAGGAUUUCCAAAGGAUGUUGUUAUCCUUGGGAGAAGCCUGUGAAGCGCUUGGCAGUGAACAGUUCCAGUACUGUAGUCCCUUAACAGCUGGGCAGGUAGUGGUGGGGAUCUUCAUAUGGUCUAGCUUCACAAAGCCAGCUUGGUAGAGGGGGCUGUGCGAAAAUCACCCAUCACACGUGCAGACUGAUUUGUUGGAAGGGGAUAAUGCUGCUGAAAACACUGUUUUAACAAAGAGAAACCUUGUCCUCUCCUGGUCGUGUGUGAAGUGCCAAGGAAUCUUGCAUGGGCUAUAGUUUCUCGGAGGAAUCCUUCUCAAUCGGCGUUGUGGUCGACAACAGUUCUCUGCAUUCAAGUAUGAGAAGUGGUCUCUAUCAGAACUAUCUAUAAAGAUGCAGUUUUGUUUCUGUUGUAGAGUAGGAUGCAACUGGGAGUUGCAGAAAUGGGAGGGAUUACUUGUGUCAAUCAGCAAAUUUAAAGAUAAGUAGCUACAGUUCUGUUUUUGACUAUCUUUAUGCUUGUUGAUAAAGCAAUGACCCAUUGUCACUUCUAAUGACCAUUGGUUCAAGCUUUGUGCUUUGUUAGGGACAAAUGUGCAGUGGUCUGUGGCAGAAGUCACUUAAUGACAAACUUGUAAAUUUCGGUGUAUAUAAACUUAGCUGUAUGCUGACUAACUUUUUGUUUACCAGUUUUUGUAACUUUUUCUUUUAAAAAGUGAAAAGGUAUAGGUCCAAGAUGGCACUUUUGAAUAACAAAACCACGAUGGAGAGCGAAUUUGUCCUCAGCACUGACCUGUUUUUCUUUUUUUUAACUGUGCCUCGUGUCCAGGGCUUAGAAACUGACCAUCUUGGGUAAGGGGUGCUGAUCCCAAAGGAUCCUUCCUUCAGAUGUCAGUUUGUUCCCCGCAAGGCUGCCGCUGCUCGAGGCUAUCAUCAUUCUGGGACUGAAACAGCAAUUCACAGGGUGGUCUGCUGAACCUGUUAAUUUUGGUGGCAUUAGUACAGAAUUGUGGAUGGAAGAUGGUGAGAGGGAGAGAGCUGGCCCACAGCUGGGAUUUAUCCUUGGAACAGUCACCAUGUUUCAAAGCCUGUUCGUACUAGUUUGAUUAAAUCAGGGUCUUCAAGUCCUGCACAUUUGUAUCAGAUAACUUUUCUAUAAGAAAUGCCACAGUAAGCACAUUUUUACACAUUAUUUAAAUGGUUACCUACUUUUAAAUGUUCCAAGAAUUUAAUGUUUUUAUCCAGGUCUGACAUGUUUGGCUAUGUGAUAAAAUCAACAUGGUAUGGGAUCUGGUAGCGAGGUAGUUGUAUCAUUUGUGAAAUCAGCAUUUCACAAAAGUCCCAGUGUCUAAGAUAAGUGAUUGGCCAACGGUAUACACCUUGCAGUACCUUGCUUCUUUCACCUGCCACCAUCAGCUGUCUUAAUCUUCCUUUUUAAAUUUCCUGGGUUAUUUCAGUGGUGCACAAAGGAAGUUCAGUUCCUUAUAUGAGCUUCCAUCUGCAGAGAAGUUACGCAACCUAUAAUGAACGGCAUUAAGACUACGGUAAUGUUGUCUGCAGCCUGUAAGGGGAUGCUGUGGUUGGCCUUCCGGUACAGUCACGUGCAGGACUUUUUUUUUUUCCUUUGCAGAAUGUGAACAAUUUUUUAAUGCGGUAGCAAAAUAUUUAAGUUGCAACAAGUUCAUUUCAUUUUUAGAGAGAGGUAUGGGGUUGUGCUAUGGGAUUUCAUGUAAGUCAGAGCUGAAUGCCACUAGUUUUUAAUCCAGCUUUGAGUGCAUGUUGAGUAGCUGAUACCUUGGUUUAUCAGGUGGGAGAGGUUUUUUUUUUUGUUGUUUGUUUCUUCAUGGAUACCAGAGUCAACUUAUUUUAUCUGGGUUCAUAGCAUUACAGCAUAGGAUGCUUGUGGCCUUAUUUCUUGGCUCUUAAGGAACUGCCACACUUUCUCUUCCUAUGACUUUGUUAUUAUUAUAGAAGUUAAUUGUAUAAGCCUAUGGAAUGUCAGGCCAAUACCAUCAUUCUAGGAUUGUAAAGUGAUAUGUUGACAUAUCUUUCAUGGUUAAGAAUUUUCAUUAAGGUUGGAAUGCCACUUUCAUUAAUCUGUUUUUAGAUCAACAGUAUCUGUAGCAGAAAAAAACGACCUGUAAAACUGUAUUUGAAGACCAUGCAAGAAAUAGAAUAAAAAUUGAGAAGUGAAUGUAAAUAAAAAAAACGUGUAUUUUGUUGUGUGAUGUUUCUGAACCAAAAAUGGCUCGGCAGUGUAUGUUGCAUCAUGCCAUAUGUGUUGGAAGCCCUCGUGAUCAGCUGUCACAGAAACUUGUCGUGGGUUUUGGUGGUGAAAGUGUUGCAUGGUAGGCACCUGUGCUGAUGCUUAUCAUAGGUGAAUUUCCUGUGACCCUUUAGAAAUACCCCAAGAUGUUCAGAGUGGCAGUACUCAGUUGAAUGUUAACCUGUUUUUGCAAAAAUUUGGUCUUCUCAAGGUGAUCUUUUGGUGUCUGGUAAAGCUGGUGGGAGCUUUGCAACAGCACUUGUUUACCCUUUCAUGAUUUUUCUUUCUAGCCAGCAGCUGGUUUUUGAGAGUUACUGAAACCCAAAUCAGCCUGCCAGCAGCAACGAAGUGAGAAAGAAAAUACCUGGGGAAUGGUUGCGUUGCAUGUAAGAGGUGAACAUGGUAACACCAUAACCUGGCUCUAGUUGUACAUCAGCAAAAUUUAGCAUACGGAGCCAAACACCUGACAGCUAAAGCAAGCAGCUUCCUGCAUACAAGAAUUACCACCAAGCAGAAGAGAUGGGUUUUACAGCCAAGUAAAAGAGUGUAUUUAAAAAAAAAAAAACACAACUUUUUCUUAAGGACUCUUCACAAGAAUGGCUUUAACAUCCCUCCACCUGCCAUAGAAGUUCAGUUAUGUUAUGUGUAGAACAUAAUAUUCAAACUAAGUAGGGAGAUUGGUAAUUAAAAUCUUUUCUCCUAAUCCAGUAAGCAUGUGUUACAUUAAAAUGAUACUUUUCCUUCAGACAAGUGUUUCACGUAGCUGUCUGUGGUGUUGAAGCCUUUCUUGUGAAGUUGCAGCAGAAAUGGCAGUGACUUGGCUAUGGCCAAAGCAAGCCAACUGCAAAAACUGGAAGGUCUUGGUUCACACCCUUUCUCAAAUGCGUGCUGUGUAAAGAAUCAAGUAUGUAAAAGCAAUUGAAAAUACAGGGAGGCUGUCUUGAUUAAAUGCAGCAGGCGCUGCUCUGUCACUGAAUCAGAGCACUGAAGAGAUCACUGGUGAGCAUGGGAAGUGCUUGAAAAUUGGCAUAAGUGUUCUUCAAUUGAUUCAGCAGUGAAAUGAAAAUUGCUUGACUAGCUUCUCUUCGCAGGCCACAUGCUAGACAAUUAACUGAUGGCUGAAGUGAAGAUACUGGUGUGAACCCGCCUGGCUUUGCUCAAGCACGUGUUUGGUGUUGGCUGCACUCCUGCUACAUUUGCUCGGUCCUGUGGUGGUUGGUCUGAGCCACAGCACUUGUCAGAGCCCUGGUCUAUGUUGGGUUUGUUGCAAAGGGGAAUGGGACCUUGCUGCUGGAAUGGCUGUUGGCAGACCCAUCUGCCCCAUGAGCAGUUUGUUACGCUCUGUCAUCAGUAGCCACUUUUUUAUUUUCCUGUUUCAAGGAUUCUUUGCUACAAGUAGGACCAAAUAUCCUAUUUCAAGAGCUCAGGGGCAGGCCAAAAAACGUGUAGUCUGUACAGGGUGAGUUUUUCAGCAUGAAAGGGACUUCAGUCGCUUCUACGUAUCUAUCACAGUACUUUUCAAAGCAAUCAAAUUCUGUGCAUCCCCCAGUCCUGGGGACAAUGAAUACCUGAAGCCAAAAAUAAGUGAGGCAAACGGUCACCGGAGUUUGAGCUGUCUGCUUUAAAAGUACGUUUAAAAUGUGUGUGUGUGUGUGUAUCUUCCUGGGGAGUACCUUCUUAUGUUCGGGGGUUUUCUGAGUGGAGCUGUAGUUUAUAGUGUCAAACAGGAAUAAAAGCAAAUUU